RNAcentral lists this ribosomal RNA (484 nucleotides) under Lepidasthenia elegans. Its description in RNAcentral is "partial 16S ribosomal RNA". It matches the Rfam family "Bacterial large subunit ribosomal RNA", at positions 1824 to 2597 of the family's 2925-position model. The record is from RNAcentral. Lineage: Eukaryota; Metazoa; Annelida; Polychaeta; Phyllodocida; Polynoidae.
UGCCUCUAGAAAUAUAAUUAGAGGUCCAUCCUGCCCGGUGAUUAAUUUUCAACGGCCGCGGUAUUCUGACCGUGCAAAGGUAGCAUAAUCAUUUGCCUUUUAAUUGAAGGCUUGUAUGAAAGGACAAACGAAGCUUUAACUGUCCCUGUACUGAAUUUAAAAAUUAGGUUUCAGGUGAAGACACCUGAAUUCAGUAGAAAGACAAGAAGACCCUAUAGAGUUUUAAUCUUAAUUUAGCCUCUGUCUAAAUUAAAGUUUUGGUUGGGGCGACCAAGGAUUAACUAAAACAUCCUUUCCUAUGAAGGUCUUGAACCGUAUUAAUGACCCUUCAAUAGAUCAACAAAACAAACUACCUUAGGGAUAACAGGCUUAUCUUCCUAAAGAGCUCAAAUUGAAAGGAAGGUUUGGCACCUCGAUGUUGGCUUAGAGAACACUCACAAAUGCAGCCGUUUGUGAAGUUAGUUUGUUCAACUAUUAAAUCUCU